RNAcentral lists this ribosomal RNA (609 nucleotides) under uncultured bacterium. RNAcentral's name for it is "bacterial SSU rRNA". It matches the Rfam family "Bacterial small subunit ribosomal RNA", at positions 338 to 947 of the family's 1533-position model. The record is from RNAcentral.
CCUACGGGAGGCAGCAGUAAGGAAUAUUGGACAAUGGACGCAAGUCUGAUCCAGCCAUGCCGCGUGAAGGAUUAAGGCCCUCUGGGUUGUAAACUUCUUUUAUAGGGGACGAAAAAAGGGCUUUCUAGCUCGACUGACGGUACCCUAUGAAUAAGCACCGGCUAACUCCGUGCCAGCAGCCGCGGUAAUACGGAGGGUGCAAGCGUUAUCCGGAUUCACUGGGUUUAAAGGGUGCGUAGGCGGGCAUUUAAGUCAGUGGUGAAAUCUUCGAGCUCAACUCGGAAACUGCCAUUGAUACUAUUUGUCUUGAAUAUUGUAGAGGUGAGCGGAAUAUGUCAUGUAGCGGUGAAAUGCUUAGAUAUGACAUAGAACACCGAUUGCGAAGGCAGCUCGCUACACAAAUAUUGACGCUGAGGCACGAAAGCGUGGGGAUCAAACAGGAUUAGAUACCCUGGUAGUCCACGCCCUAAACUAUGGAUACUCGACAUUUGCGAUACACAGUAAGUGUCUGAGCGAAAAGCAUUAAGUAUCCACCUGGAAGUACGACCGCAAGGUUGAAACUCAAAGGAAUUGACGGCGNGAGAGNGCGAGACGACGACGAGGGAGGAG